AACGAACGCUGGCGGCAGACCUAACACAUGCAAGUCGAGCGAGAUCUUCGGGUCUAGCGGCGGACGGGUGAGUAACGCGUGGGAAUAUGCCCUUCUCUGCGGAAUAGCCUCGGGAAACUGAGCGUAAUACCGCAUACGCCCUUUGGGGGAAAGAUUUAUCGGAGAAGGAUUAGCCCGCGUUGGAUUAGGUAGUUGGUGGGGUAACGGCCUACCAAGCCGACGAUCCAUAGCUGGUUUGAGAGGAUGAUCAGCCACACUGGGACUGAGACACGGCCCAGACUCCUACGGGAGGCAGCAGUGGGGAAUCUUAGACAAUGGGGGCAACCCUGAUCUAGCCAUGCCGCGUGAGUGAUGAAGGCCUUAGGGUUGUAAAGCUCUUUCAGCUGGGAAGAUAAUGACGGUACCAGCAGAAGAAGCCCCGGCUAACUCCGUG
This 433-nucleotide ribosomal RNA is filed under the name uncultured bacterium. RNAcentral describes it as "partial 16S ribosomal RNA". It matches the Rfam family "Bacterial small subunit ribosomal RNA", at positions 29 to 507 of the family's 1533-position model. The record is from RNAcentral.